Molecule: non-coding RNA, 28 nt
Filed under: Bombyx mori (domestic silkworm)
Lineage: Eukaryota; Metazoa; Arthropoda; Insecta; Lepidoptera; Bombycidae
Source: RNAcentral
UCGAACUGUCCUUCAAGUAAUGCGAACC